UUCUCUGCUCUUCAUCUUUAGAGUGUGAUUUCCACCUUAAUGUUGCCAGAGUCCUAGAUACUGGAGUGUAAACCAUUUGUGUCAAUUUCAGGCAGGAAGCAGGAAGAAAGGGGAGAAAGAAAGAAAGACAAAAGGAAUGCCAACUGGAAGAAAAGUUUUGACCAUAGAUUUGUUCAGCUGGAUAAAUGGUUAAUUUUAGAAGGCUUUUAGAGCUCCAAGAAUAGCUUUGUACUUUGAACUUCUUAAACAGAAAUCUUUGUGUUGAUUGUUUUAUCUCAAUACUAAGUAAGUUACUUGUUAUCAUAGUGUUUUUACUUAAAGGUUAGCUAUUUUCAUUGUCAGGAGAAAUCCUUUUAAAAGGUGAACGUGUUCCAGCAAAUUUUCAUGUCGUAAUUUAUGUGAUUUCAUUAUAUGCAGCUUUAAAGAGGCUCGUUAUGUGCUUUAAAUAUGUUUCAGAAUCAUGAGCAUUGUGUGUCCUUUGCUACAGCUUUUGUACCAAGCCUGUUAAGAAUUGCUAGCUCUCUGUUUCCUUGAUUUUAUGAGUGCUUGAUAAAUUCUGUUAAAAAUGGAACUUGAUUUAUGAGCUUAAAUUUGGUUAAUUUCCAUAGACAUGAGGUUUUUAAAUUUUUUCUUAAUGUUCGUUUUUUUUAAGAAAAAAACCUGUAUAAGUAGAGCAUACUUUAUAAAGAUGUAAGAACGAGAAUGUCACGACUGUUGGAGUUGAGAAUGAUUUUCCUUCGAAAGUGGGUGUAAGUUUGAAGUAGAACUAUAAAAGAAGGAUUGGCUCUAUGUCCCAAAA
Molecule: long non-coding RNA, 799 nt
Organism: Ochotona curzoniae (black-lipped pika)
Lineage: Eukaryota; Metazoa; Chordata; Mammalia; Lagomorpha; Ochotonidae
Exons: 2
Source: RefSeq, a predicted model, not a curated record